This 254-nucleotide ribosomal RNA is filed under the name uncultured bacterium. RNAcentral's name for it is "partial 16S ribosomal RNA". It matches the Rfam family "Bacterial small subunit ribosomal RNA", at positions 524 to 776 of the family's 1533-position model. The record is from RNAcentral.
UACAGGGGGGGCAAGCGUUGUUCGGAAUUACUGGGCGUAAAGGGCCAGUAGGCGGCCAACUAAGUCACACGUGAAAUCCCCAGGCUUAACCUGGGAACUGCGUGUGAUACUGGAUGGCUUGAAUUCGGGAGAGGGAUGCAGAAUUCCAGGUGUAGCGGUGAAAUGCGUAGAUAUCGUGGAGGAAUACCGGUGGCGAAGGCGGCAUCCUGGACCGACAUUGACGCUGAACGGCGAAAGCUAGGGGAGCAAACGGG